This 152-nucleotide ribosomal RNA is filed under the name uncultured bacterium. Its description in RNAcentral is "partial 16S rRNA". It matches the Rfam family "Bacterial small subunit ribosomal RNA", at positions 355 to 511 of the family's 1533-position model. The record is from RNAcentral.
UUAGGAAUCUUCCACAAUGGGCGAAAGCCUGAUGGAGCGACGCCGCUUGAGGGAUGAAGGUUUUCGGAUUGUAAACCUCUGAAACAGGGACGAAAGGCGCAUUAAGCGAGAUGACGGUACCUGUGUAAUAGCACCGGCUAACUCCGUGCCAA